UUCUUCUCCUUCUAAAAAAAACUGAAAAAAACCUCUCAAGUUUCUCUCUCCCUCUCUCUCAGCCCAGAAUCCGGCGAGGAGGGUCGCCGUUGACGCCGCCGUGCCGGCCACCGUAGACGGUGGCCAGAAAAUUCAAGAAAGGCAAGUGGCGAUGGGACGUGAGGCGGUGGCGUGACAGUGCUGGUGAAGGCGGCGCCGGAAGACUAAAGGUCUAAAGACCUUAGGUGCGGCGCUAGGGUUUCUUUUCUGAAACCCUAGCUUAGCUUUGAGGGGGUUGGGCCAGUUGGGCCCUGUUUUGGGCUCCGGGUUUGGGCCUACUAUUUUGUUUUUUUGUAAUCUGGACUGGUAUUGGGCCCGGGCGAAAUUUGGGCUAUACAAACAUAACAUGAAUAGCAUAUAUAACUUAUACCCAA
Molecule: long non-coding RNA, 413 nt
Organism: Gossypium raimondii (Peruvian cotton)
Lineage: Eukaryota; Viridiplantae; Streptophyta; Magnoliopsida; Malvales; Malvaceae
Exons: 2
Source: RefSeq, a predicted model, not a curated record